UCAUUCUCGCCUUCUGUUAUGCCCAAUUAUUUCCAUUAGCUUCGCGCCGUGUUUCUGAAGGGCGCUACGCCGCCAGGAGGUGAGGGACGAAGGCGUGGAAAUUGUUGGCGACGUGAUUGCCGCUAAGUUCGGCGAAGUCGAGAUCAAACUCGGCGAUGGUGAAAGAGAUCGAGUCGUGCGGGCAACAGGCGAAGUUGAGGGGGCGUACGAUUUUUCCGGCAAAGGGGGAGAAAUGGGUAAGGGUUUGAGGCGAUGAAUAAUGGCAAAGCUCAUGUUUGUUAUUAAGCUCACGUUUUUAAAAAAUUUGAUGGAUUGUUAUCGCUAAUAACAGAUAACAAAUUCUGGUAGAGUCUUCCUUAUUUUUAGGACUUUAGUUUCGAUAGAAAAUUUAUAUACAUGCUUCCCUUUAUUUUCUCUACAUAUCAGUACUGAAGUUGAGGUGAAUGCAUAUUCCUUUUCUUUAGGACUCUUAGAACUCUUUUAGUUUCGGUAGUAAAUUUAUACGUGGGUUUCCGUUUACUUUCUCUACAUAUCAGUACUGAAGUUGAGGUAAAUACAUUGUCAAAAAAUUUCUGAUUCCACUCUUUGUUGACUCGAUUCAAUUCACUGUCAUACUAUUUUUCGUGAGUGAAAUUCCUGGAAUUCUUUUUCAUCCGUCUACUUUUUUGUUGAAAACACAACUUAUUAUUGAAUUUGUUAACACUCUAUCUAUCAUGUUUUCACAGAAGUGUUGUGUGUCCUCUGUCUAUUAUCCGUUGCUCUGCUCGACAAUAUUGUGAAGAAGCUAAAGAAUCCAAUAUUUUUAUGCCACUUGUUCUAGUCUUUAUUUAUGCCUCUUAAACUAAGUUUAUUUAUCUCAAAUUUUGCAAUGUCACAGCUAUAUGUAAAUAGGUGUCAAAUAAUGUUAUGCUAGUAUUUUGCCGAG
RNAcentral lists this long non-coding RNA (925 nucleotides) under Salvia miltiorrhiza (redroot sage). RNAcentral describes it as "long non-coding RNA (SMIL_LNC012122)". Lineage: Eukaryota; Viridiplantae; Streptophyta; Magnoliopsida; Lamiales; Lamiaceae. The record is from RNAcentral.